GUAUUGGCUUUGACUUUUCAGAAGGCUUAUCUGUUAGAUGGUGUUUGUCACUGGGCCGCGGAGCUGUGGAUGUUCGUCAGUUGGAAGUUGCAGGCAGUUGAACGAUAUGGACAGGUAAUGUCAUUGCAUGUACACAGUUUAAGACAGAGCAUCUGGUGAUUCUCGGACCUUCAAGCAAGUGUCACAUCUCAGGUGAACCUUGGCAGUUUUAAGAUGAACAAAGUAAUCAAAGCAAAAAUGUCAAAUAAUAAUAAUAAUAAUGAUAUCAGAAGAAUGUCCAGUGCCAUGGUUGGAUUCCCAGAAGGCAGCAUCUGCUCAUGCCAUCAACAACAUGGUGCCAUUUCAGUCAUCCUCUUUUUGUCCCAAAGACAGAAAAAAAAUAGAAAAAAGAAAGAGAAAAAGACACCACGAACCGUCUAUCCUCCUGGGUGUGAGGUUUGGAGGGCCUCUCGUCAAAACUUUGGAGGGCUCUGUCAGUUUGAAAAGAACAUGACCUUUAAAUUGUAUCAGUAUGUUUGCUGGUGCAUAAGGGAGAGGAAAAGGUUCGUCCUGAUGGAAAACCACUCAGAAGCCAAGGAGUAAUUCAGAGGGAACCAGCCCAGGAAGAAUCAAGAAAGCUGCCCACAGUGUCAUUCUUCAGCUGAGAAAAGAGAGAGUUGACUAACUCCUCGGACUGGAGUGAGGACUCACAGAGGUGGUAGGACACUAACCAUCUAUGUCUCCAUUUCCUGGGUUGUAACACUGAGGUAGAACAUCUCACUGUCCCAUGGAGGAUUAUGUUAUUUUUGGAGAUUAAUAAUUUUGGAGGAAGAAAGGUGGCUUCCUGAAAAGGAAGUCACAUGAAGAAGCAACUUACACGGUGGUCUCUUUAAAUAAACAUAUUGUGACUAGACAA
Molecule: long non-coding RNA, 895 nt
Filed under: Homo sapiens (human)
Lineage: Eukaryota; Metazoa; Chordata; Mammalia; Primates; Hominidae
Description: HSALNT0397339
Source: RNAcentral